AUUGAACGCUGACGGCAGGCCUAACACAUGCAAGUCGAGCGGAUGAAGGGAGCUUGCUCCUGGAUUCAGCGGCGGACGGGUGAGUAAUGCCUAGGAAUCUGCCUGGUAGUGGGGGAUAACGUCCGGAAACGGGCGCUAAUACCGCAUACGUCCUGAGGGAGAAAGUGGGGGAUCUUCGGACCUCACGCUAUCAGAUGAGCCUAGGUCGGAUUAGUUAGUUGGUGGGGUAAAGGCCUACCAAGGCGACGAUCCGUAACUGGUCUGAGAGGAUGAUCAGUCACACUGGAACUGAGACACGGUCCAGACUCCUACGGGAGGCAGCAGUGGGGAAUAUUGGACAGUGGGCGAAAGCCUGAUCCAGCCAUGCCGCGUGUGUGAAGAAGGUCUUCGGAUUGUAAAGCACUUUAAGUUGGGAGGAAGGGCAGUAAGUUAAUACCUUGCUGUUUUGACGUUACCAACAGAAUAAGCACCGGCUAACUUCGU
This 483-nucleotide ribosomal RNA is filed under the name uncultured bacterium. RNAcentral's name for it is "partial 16S ribosomal RNA". It matches the Rfam family "Bacterial small subunit ribosomal RNA", at positions 30 to 506 of the family's 1533-position model. The record is from RNAcentral.